This 517-nucleotide ribosomal RNA is filed under the name uncultured bacterium. RNAcentral describes it as "bacterial SSU rRNA". It matches the Rfam family "Bacterial small subunit ribosomal RNA", at positions 21 to 518 of the family's 1533-position model. The record is from RNAcentral.
GGCUCAGAACGAACGCUGGCGGCGUGCUUAACACAUGCAAGUCGAACGCGAAAGGGACUUCGGUCCUGAGUAAAGUGGCGCACGGGUGAGUAACGCGUAGAUAACCUGUCUUCAUGUCUGGAAUAAUACGCCGAAAGGGGUACUAAUACCGGAUAUUCUUGCUUUUCAUAAGUUAUGCAAGCAAAGGUGGCCUCUGCAUAUGCUACUGCAUGAAGAGGGGUCUGCGUACCAUUAGCUAGUAGGUGGGGUAAUGGCCUACCUAGGCGACGAUGGUUAGCGGGUCUGAGAGGAUGAUCCGCCACACUGGCACUGGAACACGGGCCAGACUCCUACGGGAGGCAGCAGUGAGGAAUAUUGCGCAAUGGGGGAAACCCUGACGCAGCGACGCCGCGUGAGUGAGGAAGGCCUUCGGGUCGUAAAGCUCUGUCAAGAGGAAAGAAGUGUACAAUGGCUAAUACCUGUUGUAUUUGACGGUACCUCUAAAGGAAGCACCGGCUAACUCCGUGCCAGCAGCGGC